This 426-nucleotide ribosomal RNA is filed under the name uncultured bacterium. Its description in RNAcentral is "bacterial SSU rRNA". It matches the Rfam family "Bacterial small subunit ribosomal RNA", at positions 354 to 796 of the family's 1533-position model. The record is from RNAcentral.
GUAAGGAAUCUUUCGCAAUGGGGGAAACCCUGACGAAGCAACACCGCGUGGAGGAUGAAGGCGUUUUCGUUGUAAACUCCUUUUCUGAGGGAAUAACUUUGAAGGUACCUCAGGAAUAAGCAGCGGCUAACUACGUGCCAGCAGCCGCGGUAAGACGUAGGCUGCAAGCGUUAUCCGGAAUUAUUGGGCGUAAAGAGUUUGUAGGUGGUUUGUUAAGUUAGAUGUCAAAUCUUUGAGCUCAACUCAAAAAAGGUGUCUAAAACUGGCAGACUGGAGACAGGUAGAGGCAAGUGGAAUUCUGCAUGUAGGGGUAAUAUCCGUAGAUAUGCAGAGGAACGCCAAAAGCGAAGGCAGCUUGCUGGACCUGUUCUGACACUCAAAAACGAAAGCGUGGGGAGCAAACGGGAUUAGAUACCCUAGUAGUCC